GGCUGCUCCCAGUGCAGUCACAACGAGUUAGAGAUUUCUUCGUUCCUUCUCCACUCCCACUGCUUCACUUGAGUAGCCUAAA
Callithrix jacchus (white-tufted-ear marmoset) is the source of this 82-nucleotide Y RNA. It matches the Rfam family "Y RNA". Rfam says of the family: Y RNAs are components of the Ro ribonucleoprotein particle (Ro RNP), in association with Ro60 and La proteins. The Y RNAs and Ro60 and La proteins are well conserved, but the function of the Ro RNP is not known. The record is from Ensembl. Lineage: Eukaryota; Metazoa; Chordata; Mammalia; Primates; Cebidae.